This 39-nucleotide transfer RNA is filed under the name Gerrhonotus infernalis. RNAcentral describes it as "partial tRNA-Leu". Lineage: Eukaryota; Metazoa; Chordata; Lepidosauria; Squamata; Anguidae. The record is from RNAcentral.
CUUUUAAAGGGUAGUAGAUAUCCACUGGCCUUAGGCGCC